UGGGGUAUAGCCAAGCGGUAAGGCACCGGUUUUUGGUAUCGGCAUGCGCAGGUUCGAAUCCUGCUACUCCAGCCA
RNAcentral lists this transfer RNA (75 nucleotides) under Halomonas halophila. RNAcentral's name for it is "tRNA-Gln". It matches the Rfam family "tRNA". Rfam says of the family: Transfer RNA (tRNA) molecules are approximately 80 nucleotides in length. Their secondary structure includes four short double-helical elements and three loops (D, anti-codon, and T loops). Lineage: Bacteria; Pseudomonadati; Pseudomonadota; Gammaproteobacteria; Oceanospirillales; Halomonadaceae. The record is from RNAcentral.